GAGUGAUGAAGCAAAACAUUGCAAUCAGUUUCGACCUGAUCUUAGAUAUAAACCUAUCCACACUCU
Molecule: transfer RNA, 66 nt
Filed under: Acanthotermes acanthothorax
Lineage: Eukaryota; Metazoa; Arthropoda; Insecta; Blattodea; Termitidae
Description: tRNA-Arg
Source: RNAcentral